CUUGUACUCCCUCCGUUCCGAAUUACUCGUCGCAGAAAUGGAUGUAUCUAGAUGUAUUUUAGUUCUAGAUGCAUCCAUUUAUACGACGAGUAAUUUGGAACGGAGGGAGUACCUC
Molecule: non-coding RNA, 115 nt
Organism: Triticum urartu
Lineage: Eukaryota; Viridiplantae; Streptophyta; Magnoliopsida; Poales; Poaceae
Source: Rfam